RNAcentral lists this long non-coding RNA (1192 nucleotides) under Anas platyrhynchos platyrhynchos (common mallard). RNAcentral describes it as "lncRNA (ENSAPLG00000022204.1)". The record is from RNAcentral. Lineage: Eukaryota; Metazoa; Chordata; Aves; Anseriformes; Anatidae.
AACACAACAGAGGUGCAUCAUGAACACCAGGGUAAGGAGCUGAAGUUUGCACUGGAGCAGCAGAGACUGCUGACUGGGAAAAACUCUUUUGAAGAUUGUUGAAGAGUAGGAAUUCUGAGAGUAUCACAAGUUGUUAAUGCUUUAUUUUAAAAAAAAAAAAAAAAAAAAGAGUAUGUCUUCAAUUAUAAUUGAGAUAAUUUCUUCAAAUUGGUGUGACAGCAGUUCAGAUUACCCAUUUAUUCUAUCUCACAAUUCAAGACAAAACUCAAUGAAAUUAAAGGGCACAUAAAAAUGAUAAAAAGCUAAUAUAUUUACCCUUAGCAUUCAGUCAUUCUACAGAAAUCACUGUUAAGGGCUUGCUGACAGUUAAGAAUUUAAGAGGAGUGAAAAGAAACAAGAUAUUUAUAUGAACAAGAGUAUCUGUGGUAGUAACACUGGCUGUGCUAAAGAUACAUGAAGCAAAUGAAGCUUGUGGUUUACAUUAGGAGUUGAGCUACCCAUUGCACAGAUUUCAGUACCACAGAGUUUUAAAAUCUUUCUCAUUGUGAGAGUUUUGUGCUCAACUUGUCUGUUUGUCUAAGCAAGCAGCACCACCAUUGAUCUGAUUUGGUAUAUUGUUUUGUGCAUGUUUUGCACUGCUAUAAUGCAGUGAGAAUAAGCAGUGAUUAUGGCAUGGGAGGAAGAUACAAUUGCAGUACUUUGGAGCAAUAAAACAGAAGAGGUUCCCAUACAACUUCUCUGUGAACAGCAGGCAUUUUACACCUGCUUUUGUGAUUUCAACCAGAAAUGAGUCAUUUGUCACUUCGUUUAUAAGCACUUGAUACAAGUUGCCAGUACAUACGGACUGGGGAGUCUUUCCAGAUGAACUGAUAAUGCCUCCACAAGGAAGUCUGCAUCAAGGACUUCUGUCAACACCCCUCUCAUGGUGAAUGCUAUCCUGUCCAAGAGUUUUCUGGUUCAGCUGUACCCUACUCCAAGGAUCCCAAUGCAUUGCUGCAGUUGUUCAUUAUCCCUUGUGUGGCCACCCUGGAGAUGUAUAAAAACAAAUGUUGAGAUUUGUUAUAUAGAGGUGUUUAUAAAACCUUACUUUAAGAAAGUCCAUUUGAUAAUGUCUAUGCUCACAUGACUACAUGUAGUGUUGCUUUUAACUAAUUAAUUUGCUUGCUGCAUGAUGCCAAAUCUCUUCCAAGGA